UGUUCUUAUUGUUUUCUAGAGAAUUGAUUUUGUGAAAUAACUGUUGAGCUUUACUGUGGUACCACUCAAUACUGCUCCAUAUAGUUGUUUUUAGAAUCUCAAUUUGAUAUAUUUAAUUUCAUACAAUUGAAUUUCAGUUUUAUUAUACAUUGUUAGAAAAACAAAAUAAUCGUAUUAUAGUUUGGCUAGGUAUUUUUUUUCCUUCUCUCAUGUAAUCCUCAAAAGAAUAGUACCUAAUUUGUUGGUAACACAUGUAUGAAUAAAAAAUGCAGUACUCAGGUUCAGUAUUGUUCUCUUUCAUCAAUUUUAUUUAGGAUGGAAUACAAAUUUUGCAGAAUAUGUGUGGUUCUAAUUUCCUCACUAUUCUCAAUUUUUUGUUUAUCUACUCAUCAGGAUAUAUGCAACCUAGCACCCAAGGGCAUUAGCCACAGGCUUGAGUUAUCACUGUACUUUAGAAAUCUUUUGGGGAAGCGGAGUAGAGAAUGUCUAUUCGUAUGUACGAAGCUGGAUUGUUGUUACUGAUUCGCUUCUUCGACGAGUUUGCUUCUGUGUAUGAAUAUUUUAUCAGGUUUGUCUUUUCCACCUUCCGAUUAACUUGGUCCUGGGAUAUAUGACAUAAGUAUUUACUUUUGCCCAGUUGUUUCUUUUACCUGGUGAAUUAUCUGUUUGACAGAAAUUUCAUCUAUAAAGGAAGAACAAAAUGAAUCCAGUUAAAUGCUUGAGGAUAGUGCAGACGAGCAAGAAAUUGAAUCAGUAACUAAAUUCUGAAGUGUUCAAUUAAAUUCUCCACUUUUUUGGGAUUUUGUGCUGCUUAGAGGCAUCCAUACCAUGUGUUCACCAAGGUGGUUUGACUAUAGAACUGUUGGAUCUUUGUUGCUGGUAUAUAAUGUAGCGUGCACAUAAGUGUUUAUUGACAAGUUCAGAAAUGAUCUAUCUUUCAGUGUUUUAACCUUCAAAAGCCAGUGGUAAAGCUACAUCUAGCACUUUUAAGUGCGAUGAAAUCUAAGAAGACCAUUAGCUCUCCAUACUUAGGAACUAGGUUUGAUAGUUGUUAUGACUUAUGUGUUAGAUUAUCACUGUAAUACUGAGGACAAAACAGUACCUUGUCAGAUAUUUAGGGACCUGACCACAUGGCAGAUGUUUUCACAUCAGAUAAUUGCGUUAUUAUAUUUCCUCUAAAAUCGUUUUCUUGCAUCAAUCCUCACCAACCACAGUGGGAAUGUGUUAGAUACGGAGCAGUCCAUGUAGGUCAUAAUUCCAAUUCUCAUCUCCAUUUGCUUUUAGUGGUGCAUGUUUGUAGUCUUCUGUUCAGUUUGCCCUUUACUAAACGCAUUUCUCAUCCUUUGAGUUUUCUACUGCAAAACGACAACGAACAUCCUUCCGCUGCUUUUUCGGUCAUAGAAUGCCAGUGGAUUGAUUUUUGUAGCUCCUAUUGUGGAGACCAUGUCUCUGCUUCACAGUGGAAGUUUGUACUGUGAUAUACGAGCCCGCAUCUAAAGAAACUGAGUAGUAUAGAUAUUGUGAAUAUGAUUAAGAAAGGACCCUUUCCAUUCUAGAUUUCUAUUCAAGUAAACGUGCUAGAUGGUUUAUUUCACAUGGUUGCAUGGUUACCUCUUAAUAAUAUGAAAAUAUCGGUGAGAGCUGCAAGAUCCGUUUUACCAAAACUCCAUGCAGACUAGAAAGAUAUGUGGUUUGGGAUGACUGCUUUGGAUUACGGUCUUGAUAUUUUAAAUGGUCUUGAUACUUUGAAUGACUUCUGCUUUUCGGAUUUAAUUCUCCCCAUAGUUACUACCCCAUCUAGAUUAUUUAAUUUAUCAUUCAGUUAUUAUUAGAUGAUUGAACGAAUAUAUGAUUUGACAGGCACAUAAAAGGACAUUCUAAAUUCCAGAGUACUGAUGUGUAUGUAAAGCUUCAGUUCUGUAUGGACUUUACGAUUUGAUAUACUAUUUCAAGUUUCUUACUACGAUAUAUUGUGCCUUUGGAGAAGAUUUGUGGUAUUUUCUUCUGGGAGUUUGGUAUGUCUUGUGCUAAUGCACAUGAAUUAUUUUCUGUUAUGACCGCUAGCCAUUGCUAGAAUAGAAGUGAAUAUGAUGUGUAAGAUUGUGCAAGAUCAUAAGUUUAUGGAGUUCUCCUCUGCGUUAAUUCCAUUUAGAAUCCCCAUGCUCGAGGUAGGCACACAAAAUAAGUAGUACUUCUACCUACUAUUAUGUCAGGUGUUCCCUUUGUACUAGAGAUGUGGUGCUUAUGUUUCAUUUUUUUUUGCAUCCCACUGCCAGGUUUCCAGCUUCAUUUAGCUACUUUCAUGCUUGGAUUUCCAUUAGCAUGCUGGUUUAGAAUGUCCUUUAUGUGCCUGUCAUCACUUUCAUGCUAGCAUGGAAAGUGCAUUAUGUGAAUCACCCUAAAGGACUGACUGAUGUUUUGAUAUGGUAAUUCUCACUAGAUAACUAUUGGCUCUGUCAUUUUUAUUCGUGAAAAUUGCGUUAGGAGCUGCUUUGCCCACAUACAAAUAAUAGGACACUACUUAAAUGGAUGUUCUUUUUCAAAGCGGAGGCAAAUAUUUGCCUCAGUGUAUUAAUUAAAGUAGUGUUGUUAGAGAAUCCCCUAGGAACAAUAAUAAGCGAUUAAACCGUAGUCUUAUGUCUGUGUUGCCCUGCCCGCGAUUGCCCACUUUAAUGGCGUGGGAGGUGCGGGUAAUCUAUUAUAAGCAAGGAUUUAAGCUUUCUUAUGGAAAAAUAGAUGAGAGAAACAUGUCAGUUUGAUUUUGUGCUAAUUUAUUUAGCUCUUCGUUCCCAUUGCAGGAGAAAAACGACUGGCCUAAGAAAAUUUCAGUCAUAGGUGCAACUAUUGUAUUUGAAUUAUUCAUAUAAUUCUGCCCAAGUUGUACUCAAUUUUUUUGUUCAUACAAUUGAUUCAUAAACCUGACUAUCUUGCAUAGUUGUCGGGUGUCGUUAUUGUGAAAACAAUUGAAUUCUACGCACCUAUCAUUGACGAUAACUUAGUGCUUCCUGACCUUUUGGAAGACAGCUGCAAUGAUCUUUGAUAACCAACAUAUUUGCGGUUCCCACUAGGUUUAAUCUGGAGCCAGCCGCUCUCAGUCAUCUCUAGGUGCAUGUCAGCCUAUUCACUGUUGUGGCACCUAUUAGUGUGUGCUGGCAGUCAAAUCUACACACUACAUCUCCACUAUUAUUUUUUUACAAAAGAGUAUGAUGUUGUAAGAAAACAUUUUUUUGUCUGUCAUAUAAAUUAUGAAGGAAACAUGUCAUUUACUCAUAGUUACUAGAAGAACCACUGCUUUUGGUAAAAAGAUAUUAACAAGUUCGCACUUGUCAAAACGAACCCUCCACAUCAUAUCACACAUGCGGUGACCUUGUUUGUUUGGUAUUUGAGUUUUGUGGAGAUCAAUGGGGCUAAGCCUCGCAGGGAUUGAGUGAAACCUCUCUACCUACAAACAAAAGGGCGGCAAGGAGUGGCCCAAGGAUGAAUAAGAGAGCUACUAAAAGCAAGGAACAAGGAAGAGAAAGAGACUAAUAACCCAUAGAAGCCGAGUAGCAACGAUCGCAUGAAUUAUGCUCAGGUACAUCGAGAUGAAGGAAAAGCAUUCUGCGAUAGAACAUGUUCUGUUGGUAGGUGAAAAGAAGGUUGCUCAAAGUGGAGAUUGCUCUAUCAAGAGAUGCAUAUCUAAAAUGAUGACAAUGGCACUGUCAACCGAUGAGAAGGUUGCAUGAGUUGAUGUAUUGCACGAUCCAGAUAACACAGAAAUUUUCUUGAGCUCAAAAGAAGAUGAUCCCAGUGGCUCUCAUUUGGUUAAGGAAGGCAAUGGGAAAGCCAUCACACGUGGUCUGAAGAAACCGCAGCUUAGUGGACAAUGCCAUUACCUACGCCCCUGAGUCUUCGCCAUCGAUUAUGAUGAGGGGCCAACCACAAACCCACAUCACCCAUCACCCAGUUCCCUGCAAGCAGUGACCCUACCCGGAUAAAACAAUGAUACUAGCCCCUUUGAUGAAGAACCGGUGACUUACGCGACGAGAAAAACCAGCAGAGAUCCACGGCGACCACACGAAACACGAGUACACCGGAAAGAAACAAGAGGAAAGGGUCCAUUCGACAACUCCACAAACAACGAUCUAGGUCUUGGGAUUCUACCUCGCCCCGACCUACAACAAAAUUUCGGAGCUAAUGCAGGCAUGGCGAUGGCGCUGCCCUUCCUCGCGACUAACACCAGCAAGCGUUACACGAAAUGCGCAACCGCUAGAGAACUACAGGCCACCACAGAAAUCCUAGCAGCUGACAUAGAGGAAGCGACCAACGUUAGCGUGCGCCAUACUAAGGAGUUAGGAGUCGACCGCCUCCUCCGUGGGACACCCUCUAAAGAAAACCUACCUAGCAU
Long non-coding RNA from Lolium rigidum, 4387 nucleotides. RefSeq lists it as uncharacterized. NCBI's taxonomy places the organism in Eukaryota, Viridiplantae, Streptophyta, Magnoliopsida, Poales, Poaceae. The transcript has 3 exons. The record is from RefSeq and is a predicted model, not a curated record.